GUUUGAUCCUGGCUCAGAUUGAACSCUGGCGGCAUGCUUUACACAUGCAAGUCGAACGGUAACAGGGUGCUUGCACCGCUGACGAGUGGCGAACGGGUGAGUAAUGCGUCGGAACGUGCCGAGUAGUGGGGGAUAACGCAGCGAAAGUUGUGCUAAUACCGCAUACGUACUGAGGUAGAAAGUGGGGGACCUUCGGGCCUCACGCUAUUCGAGCGGCCGACGUCUGAUUAGCUAGUAGGUGAGGUAAAGGCUCACCUAGGCGACGAUCAGUAGCGGGUCUGAGAGGAUGAUCCGCCACACUGGGACUGAGACACGGCCCAGACUCCUACGGGAGGCAGCAGUGGGGAAUUUUGGACAAUGGGCGAAAGCCUGAUCCAGCCAUGCCGCGUGUCUGAAGAAGGCCUUCGGGUUGUAAAGGACUUUUGUCAGGGAGGAAAUCCCUAGUGCUAAUAACACUGGGGGAUGACAGUACCUGAAGAAUAAGCACCGGCUAACUACGUGCCAGCAGCCGCGGUAAUACGUAGGGUGCGAGCGUUAAUCGGAAUUACUGGGCGUAAAGCGUGCGCAGGCGGUUUGAUAAGCCAGAUGUGAAAUCCCCGAGCUCAACUUGGGAACUGCGUUUGGAACUGUCAGACUAGAGUGCGUCAGAGGGGGGUGGAAUUCCGCGUGUAGCAGUGAAAUGCGUAGAGAUGCGGAGGAACACCGAUGGCGAAAGCAGCCCCCUGGGAUGACACUGACGCUCAUGCACGAAAGCGUGGGGAG
This 762-nucleotide ribosomal RNA is filed under the name uncultured bacterium. RNAcentral's name for it is "bacterial SSU rRNA". It matches the Rfam family "Bacterial small subunit ribosomal RNA", at positions 11 to 768 of the family's 1533-position model. The record is from RNAcentral.